AAAGUAAGCUAGGCAAUCGCGAAUUAUUAAUUCGAGGAAAGUCCGGACUCCGUAGAGCGAGAUAGCGGCUAACAGCCGUCCACUUAGCAAUAAGUGAGGAAUAGGGCCACAGAGACGAGACUAUUAUGUGGGUUUGUCCUCUGGAUAAACACUGAUACGGCAACUUCCGUAUGGCGUUAUGUCAAUAACAGCAUAGUAGGGUGAAACGCGGUAACCUCUAUUUGGAGCAACAUCAAAUAGGCAUACGCUAAGGGCUGCUCGUCCGAGUAUGCGGGUAGAUGGCUUGAGUACUUAAGUAAUUAAGUACCUAGAGGAAUGAUUGCCGACCCAUGAAGAGAAAUCUUAAGGGUUUACAUAAUCCGGCUUAUAGGCUUACUUUGUCU
Non-coding RNA from Pelistega indica, 383 nucleotides. It matches the Rfam family "Bacterial RNase P class A". From Rfam's summary of the family: Ribonuclease P (RNase P) is a ubiquitous endoribonuclease, found in archaea, bacteria and eukarya as well as chloroplasts and mitochondria. Its best characterised activity is the generation of mature 5'-ends of tRNAs by cleaving the 5'-leader elements of precursor-tRNAs. The record is from Rfam. Lineage: Bacteria; Pseudomonadati; Pseudomonadota; Betaproteobacteria; Burkholderiales; Alcaligenaceae.